RNAcentral lists this ribosomal RNA (448 nucleotides) under uncultured bacterium. RNAcentral's name for it is "bacterial SSU rRNA". It matches the Rfam family "Bacterial small subunit ribosomal RNA", at positions 330 to 793 of the family's 1533-position model. The record is from RNAcentral.
CCCAGACUCCUACGGGAGGCAGCAGUCGGGAAUAUUGCGCAAUGGAGGAAACUCUGACGCAGUGACGCCGCGUGCAGGAAGAAGGUUUUCGGAUUGUAAACUGCUUUAGAUAGGGAAGAAAAAAAUGACAGUACCUAUAGAAUAAGCUCCGGCUAACUACGUGCCAGCAGCCGCGGUAAUACGGAGGAUGCGAGCGUUAUCCGGAUUUAUUGGGUUUAAAGGGUGCGUAGGCGGAAUGCCAAGUCAGCGGUAAAAUCGCGGGGCUCAACCUCGCUCCGCCGUUGAAACUAGCGUUCUUGAGUGGGCGAGAAGUAUGCGGAAUGCGUGGUGUAGCGGUGAAAUGCAUAGAUAUCACGCAGAACUCCGAUUGCGAAGGCAGCAUACCGGCGCCCAACUGACGCUGAAGCACGAAAGCGUGGGUAUCGAACAGGAUUAGAUACCCCUGUAC